CCUACGGGGGGCAGCAGUGAGGAAUAUUGGUCAAUGGGCGCGAGCCUGAACCAGCCAAGUCGCGUGAGGGAUGACGGUCCUACGGAUUGUAAACCUCUUUUGCCGGGGAGCAAGCGUGCGUUCGUGAACGCACGUCGAGAGUACCCGGAGAAAAAGCAUCGGCUAACUCCGUGCCAGCAGCCGCGGUAAUACGGAGGAUGCGAGCGUUAUCCGGAUUUAUUGGGUUUAAAGGGUGCGUAGGCGGGUUAUCAAGUCAGCGGUAAAAUCGUGGAGCUCAACUCCAUCCAGCCGUUGAAACUGAUGAUCUUGAGUGGGCGAGAAGUAUGCGGAAUGCGCAGUGUAGCGGUGAAAUGCUUAGAUAUUGCGCAGAACUCCGAUUGCGAAGGCAGCAUACCGGCGGCGAUCUGACGCUGAGGCACGAAAGCGUGGGUAUCGAACAGGAUUAGAUACCCGAGUAGUC
Molecule: ribosomal RNA, 460 nt
Filed under: uncultured bacterium
Lineage: Bacteria
Description: partial 16S ribosomal RNA
Rfam family: Bacterial small subunit ribosomal RNA
Source: RNAcentral